RNAcentral lists this long non-coding RNA (1120 nucleotides) under Pogona vitticeps (central bearded dragon). Its description in RNAcentral is "lncRNA (ENSPVIG00000022967.1)". The record is from RNAcentral. Lineage: Eukaryota; Metazoa; Chordata; Lepidosauria; Squamata; Agamidae.
GUAUCUGUUUUCUAGUUCAGUCAGGAGUGGACGAGCUGGGAGCAUUUCCUAUGUUUGUUUCUUCAAACAGUAUCCUCUAACCAUCAUAAUGGACAUUUUAAGGAAAUAGCAACAACCACAAAACGGAAGCAACUAAGAGGCACAAUUAUAAGAGUCUUCUGAAAAAUUCUUAAUACUCUGCUAGUAGGUGGGAAUUUGUUUUACCACAGAACUCAACCUGGUCUUAUGCGUCAUUUCAGGAGGCUGAAACAGUUCAUCUCUGACAAUCAUCACCAGAAUCUCAUCAAGGCCGAACAGCAGCAAUUCCACUAAUGAAUAGCAGGUAUAAUUCAUAUAUAAGGUGUUGUGCAGGUUUGGGACAAGAACUGCACAGUUCUCCUUUAAACAUCGAGUGUUCAAGUACAUAUAAAGAAUGCACUGUCAUGAGGAUUCCAACUCUAUCUGAGUGCAAAACACACACACAGUCUAGUAAACGAAAUUAGCACAAGUCUAUUUAAGCUGUCAAACCCACACAUCAUAACACAAAUACUGUACUUUAACAGGAGCAUGAGGUAAAACUCUGCUGCAACAUUUGCCAUUAUUAGCUGAAAUACUGUACCUAGUACAAAACAUGACAAGAGAGCCAACUCCAACUGCCCACUGAUUUUUUUCUGAACAGCAUUCCCCUGAUCAAGCAAAGCCCCUUAGAACUGGGUCAUAUAGAUCUGUGGUGGGAGUUCCUUGUUGGUAGCUUUGCAGCUGCCUAGCUUAGAGGCUGGCUGAAAUUUAGAAAGAAAGUGUAGACACAGCGCAACCUGUGGCUCUUUGGAACUUCCUUCAGCCUCUUACUAACAUCAACACAAUUCAGGCUGGACAAGAAAACACUGAAAGUGUGAAUGGACGUGAUGAAUGCUUUUGUAUAAAUAGCAGCAAGUGCUUGUACAAAAGAAAAUGCAGAUUUUCCCCCUUCCGCCACCCAUAUCCCAAUCCCAUUUAAAUACCAGUGAGACACCAUCCGCAUAAAUUCUUCCGGUUUGACAACAGACGCUGGCCAGACUUGGAAUUGUUCCAACUGGGUUAACUAGAAGCAUUACUGGCCCAGUAGCCCCAGCCUGACUUCCCACCCGCCAGCAUUUGGUUU